AACCAUAGAAACCUGCGGAGUACCUGCGGAGGGAUCAUUAAAAAAAGAAUCGCAAGAUUCUAUUUUUUUAAAGCUUUACUACUAUUUUUUAUAGGAGUAGAGCUUUUUCCACACUCUUUUUAAUAUUAAUCGUCUUUUGACGAUAUCCAAAAAUAAAAAAAACUUUCAGCAAUGGAUCU
Molecule: unclassified non-coding RNA, 179 nt
Filed under: soil metagenome
Description: partial contains 5.8S ribosomal RNA, internal transcribed spacer 2, and large subunit ribosomal RNA
Source: RNAcentral